Molecule: long non-coding RNA, 10253 nt
Filed under: Malus domestica (apple)
Lineage: Eukaryota; Viridiplantae; Streptophyta; Magnoliopsida; Rosales; Rosaceae
Description: long non-coding RNA (MDOM_LNC002350)
Source: RNAcentral
GAAAACCAACCUCCACUUUUCAUCAAACUUCCACAGCCCAACACCCUCCUCCUCCGCAACCAGUAAUGGCAGCCACCUCCUCCGCCUUGUUCUCAGCCCCGUCCAUCUCCUCCACAGCCACAAGGCACCACCAAACCCUAUCACCAACCCAAAUCUCCUUCCAAGGCCUCAGACCCCUCACCAAGUCCUCCCCUCCCACCAAGCUUGGUUUGCAUGCACCCAGCACCAGGAGAAGUUCAUGCGUCGUCAAAGCUGAGCUGAACCCAUCACUGGUCAUCAGCCUGAGCACCGGACUCUCUCUCUUCCUUGGGAGGUUUGUUUUCUUCAACUUCCAGAGAGAGAAUGUGGCCAAGCAAGGGUUGCCGGAGCAGAACGGGGUGACGCACUUUGAGGCUGGGGACACUAGGGCUAAGGAGUAUGUGAGCCUCCUCAAGUCUAAUGACCCUGUUGGGUUCAACAUUGUGGAUGUUUUGGCUUGGGGUUCUAUCGGUCACAUCGUGGCUUACUACAUCUUGGCCACCUCUAGCAAUGGCUAUGAUCCCAAGUUCUUUGAAUAAAUAUUAUCAUUUUGAAUUUAAAUUUGAGUUGAAUCCAUAUCAUGUUGUUGUGAGGUCUCUCUCUUGUUUGUAAUUUGUAUAGCUUAUCAAUGAAUCGCUAGUUUGGGAAGUUCUUAUGCUUUUCUUUGUUGUUUUAUUUUUUGUUUCGUGGUUCUUCGAAGUAACAACACUAGAGGCAGGACUAUAGCCAAUUAAGUUCUUCGUUUUGAGUUUGAAUGCAUGUGUUUUGUUGGAAUUUGGAAUUUACUACUUGCUAUUAUUUCAUGUUCUCAAAGGUAUCCAAAUCCAUCAUGCAAUGCACUCUUUCAAAUCUUUGGAUUGAACCCCCCUUGAGGCAUCAACAACUAUGAUGAAUUUGGGACAUUCCUUAUUUCAUAGUUUUGGAGUACCAUUCUUUUUCGGGUAAAUUGUUGUUUGACCCCCUGAACUAUUUUUUUGGUAAAUUAACCUCCUAAACUAUUUAAAAUCAGCCAAUUAACCCCUUAACGUUAGACGUCCAUUAUUUUGUCAAAUUCAAGGGCAAAUUAGUCUUUUUGUCAUCAAUUUGUACAUGUCACUUAUAACUACCAAUAAAAUUAUGACACGUGGACACAGAAUAACGUGUAAUGACAAUGUAAAAUGGUCUGUUAUGCAAACGUUUGGUUUCUUUAUGUUUCUUAUUAUGCUAUAAGUUUUUGAAUUAUUCUGUGUCCACGUGUCAUUAUUUUAUUGGUGGUUAUAACUAACUAGUAAGAAUUGAUGAUAAAAAAGAUUAAUUUGCCCUUGAAUCUGACGGAAUAGUGGACGGAAUCUAACGAAAAAUGGUUAAUUGGCUGCUUUUAAAUAGUUCGGGGAGUUAAUUUACCAAAAAAUUAGUUUAGGGGGUCAAUUUCAACUAAAGUAAUAAUUUAAGGGGUCAAACCGCAUUUACCCUUCUUUUUCGGAUACUCUUAAUAUGGUGAUGCAACAAAAUUAAUUUGAUUAUGGACAUUCACCUCUCCCAGACCCUGCGUAAAGCGGGAGCCUUGUGCACUGGGUACGACCUUUUUAUAUGUUUUUUUUAUCGACAAAAAGAUAUUUUUAACUAUUUUAAUUUAUGCGAAAUGAGGUUUGAAUUUGGAUGAAAAGGAGCUAUCACUUGACUAAAUGACCUGACUUACAUGUUUAAGCCCACAUAAGCGUAGUUUCUUCACUCAAAUUAAAAGUUAGAAAAAAAUACAGAAAUCUACUAAAUUCAGGCAAAAUCGAUGAACUUAAACAUAUCAUGAAUAUAAUCAUCUAAUUUUUGGAACUUUAGCACGAUUUAUAUUAUGAUGAAAUCCUUAUGAUUUCAUAAAAAAUGUUACUCUUAUCUUAUCACAUUUUUCAUACCACGUUUAUAACACUUCGUAUUCGUAAGCCCUAUUUCUAUUAGAGAAGUGAUACAAUUAUGAUAUGUAUCAUUUACUCUUAGAAAUCACAUUCUAUACUCCGUCUUCUUUCUCUUUUCCCUUGGAACUUAAUAUGCUCUUUCAUAUUUCUACUUUUAUUAACAGAAAAAGGAGUAAAAGGAAGGGGUCCAAACUGUACAGAAUCUUAUUAAUUUUAGCCAACAAAAGUACCUAUCAUGGCUUUGCCUUCCCAAAUAUGUGUUUUACCAAAACCAUCAGCCCAUCCCCAUUCUUCAUCUACACUCAAAAUAUUUCUCUUCAGUUAGUUAAAAACAUUUUAUCUAAAAUCUAAGCUUUUGAUUUCGAAUCUUUAUAUCUAUUUGUCUCCACUCUUGUGUAAAUACAAGUUUAAAUUUUCUUAUCAUAAAUUUUGAAUUAAUUUAUAUUAUCGUUUGUAUCGACAACCAAUAAAUAAAGUUUCAAUCUUUAAUUAUUAGGAAAGUAUUCUAGGGCCUAGUCAUAUCCAAUAUCUUAGGAAAAGGAUCAUCUUUGUGGGAUCCGAGGGAUCAAGCAAUCACGGUCGUUGCAUCAUAUAUCAUGCUAUUAUAAAUCAGUUUAAAUUUAAAAUUGAAUAUAAAUAGUAUAUAAUGAAAAUUAAACGCAUGAUAUACGAUGAACAGUCGUGAUUGCUUGAUCCCCGAAUCUCCACAUGCUUUUCCAAUAUCUUUAUAUAAUCAUAUAAUUUGACUAAAAUAAAAAGGGUGGUCCGUGCCUUCUGGUAAUCUAGCAUCUUAAUCCAUCAAAUCUUUACCCUCCCUUUUUUCUCUCUAACAAAAUGUCUGAGGUCCCAACACCAAAAAUUACAGAAAAGGAGAAGCCUUCUUCUUCCUCAGCCACUUCAGCUCACCAACAACAACUCCUCUCUCUCCCCGCCAAUGGGUCUUCUCUCUCAUCCCCCGCCUCCGCUCCAAAGGCUUAUCCUUCACCCACAGCAACGUACGAGGAAGUCGUUCAAAGCUCCGACCUUUUCUGGGAAAAGCUCAAGGAGUUUCACGAUUCGUUCAGAACCAAAUUCAUGUACGUUUUGGGUUUUGUCCCUUUUGUGAAAGCUUUGAUUUUGUAUAUUUGGGUCGUUUGGUGAAUUGGGUUGUGUUUGUUUUGCUGUUUUGGGUCUUGAUAUGUUGGCAGAAUUGGAAAAUUAUAGUUUGUAUUGACAUUGAAUUUGCGUGUUGCUACUACAGUUGACUGGUUUGAUCAAUUCAUGUAAUUUGGCUCGGUUCGUUUUUCUUACAACUUAGAUUUCGUUUUGUUGGGCUAUUUGAUGAAUUGGGUGGGUUGUUUUUGUUUUGCUAUUUUGGGUCUUAAUAUGUUGGAAUAAUUGGAAAAUUAUAUAUUUGUGUCGUGUUUUUAUCUUUUCAUUGCCUCACUUGGACUAUUGGAUCUAACGGAAGACAUGACACAAAACUGAGCGUGGCAUUCUAGGAUUCAUAUAGCCGACUCUGCUUAGUGGGAUAAGAUUUUGUUGUUGUUGUAUUGCCUCACUUGAUAUACUUCCAUUGUUUUUGCAUGUUGCAUGCUUCAAUUGACUGGUUUUAAUCAAAACUAUGUUGCCUAUUCCUCGGUUUGAAUUGAUUGAAUGGUGACUGACUGAAAAUUUUGGACUGCAUUGUACACAUUGUUUCGAGUAUUUUUAGCAAAGUCAGGAUAUUUUUUUUGGGAUUCUAGAAGUUCAGUUGAAUGCUGAUAUCAAAUUUAUAUCCCCUGUGGUGUCUCUCUCUAUUUGAGUUUGAGUUAGGGAUGGUGGACAAUGAGCAAUCCCGAGAUUUAUUGCAAUGCAAUUCAUCAUUUCCACAUACCACCUAUAAUAUUGGCUCACGUUAUCCUUCUUUUUUCUUUGCCAUUAGUAAGAUUAUUGUUUCUUACCAAGAUCUGAGUUUGUCAUUCAUGAGAGAUGCUUCAUUCAAGAAAAUUGGAAUUUCCCAAAUCUUCGUUAGUCAUUGUUUCCUUUGCAUAACUUUAAUAAAUGGGGAUUUGAUUUUCUUGAUGUCUACUUUUGAGCUGAAAUUUUCCAUGUAUGCAGCAUUACUAGACCAAAAACAGCACCAUGUCGUGGAGAAAUUACGACAGUUUCCUUUUUGAGGAUUUAAGAAUUGCUAAUUUAUUUUAGUAUGCUAUCUUUUGAUGUUGGUAUUUUUUAGCUGUUAUAACCUUAUAUUUCUUCAUUCUUAUUUUGUGGUCAUGGAAACCUACUUUCCAUGUUGAGAUAUUAAUGCGUCUUCAAUUGCUUAGUUUAUUGCUUAUCCUUGUGAAUUUGCAUUUGGUUUUGAUACCUUACAGAAGCAUAAAUAGGCUUUUUGGUAACUAGGAAAAGUUAUCAGUGAUGGUCAGUGAAAUCCUGAAACUGGGUCAUUUUAUGAGAUGUCUGAAAGUAUUUCUUCAUUAGUAUUGAAGUAGGUUAGUUUGAAGGAUACAGUCUAAGGGGUGCAGAAAUAAGCUGUUUAUGAAUGUGGACUUUGUCAUGCCACGAUUCUUUUUGUGCAUCAGAAACCGUUCCUAAACUGCUGUGCUGAUUGUAUAACUUAUUUCCUUUCAUAGUUUAUAGGCAUUGAUGAAAACUUAGUUAGGACGGCCUGGCUUGAACAGGAUCUGUCCUAUAGGAUCAUAUGUCUGAGUCCUUGAGUUCAUGAAAAUUUAGUGUAAAGUACAGAAAAAACGGAAAGUCCAUGAGGAUAAGAUUAGCCCUCUUUGUGCAGGAUUCCUACCGUAGGAGGAAAAACUCUGGAUCUACAUCUCCUUUUUGUAGAAGUCACAUCUCGUGAUGGGCUUGAAAAGGUUCGUUCAUUUUGCUUUUCUGUUUAAUGGUUGUUUAUAUGAGAUUCUUAAGCUGAGUUAAACUUAUUGCCUAUGUUAAUCUUCAUCCUUUUCUUUUCUCCCUUAUUUUGGAGCCAUUCUAAAGUUCCUUUUUUAUGUUUUGAAUUUUAUUUCACUUUAAAUUCUCUUAAACUGGUUACAGGUGAUUAGAGAUCGCAAAUGGAAGGAAGUGAUUACAGCCUUCAAUUUCCCAACAACAAUUACCAGUGCUUCGUUUGUCUUACGGAAGUACUACUUGUCUUUGCUGUAUCACUUUGAGCAGGCCUAUUAUUUCCACAAAGAAGUUUAUAGCAUACCAGUGCUUGGUAAUUGAAGACAGGGGUCCUUGUUGAUUUUGUGUCAUUUCAUGUAUUUUAUUGAUUGGAAAAUAUAUGGUUUUCUUGUUUCCUUUUUGCCAGAGCCUCUAAGGAAGAACCUUUUCAAUGGGUCAGCCACCGUGGAGGAAGGUGCAAGUAGAAACCAAUUUCCAGGUCAGGGUAGGCUUAACCUCCAUCUCGAUGUUAUGGUUCUAAUAGUGGUUGCGCCACACUAGUUGUAGAAGUAGAACCAUAUAACUAUGAGUAUGUUUUCUCUUUGGUGUCUACAUUAAACUGUAAGUUUCCAGAAAACCUUUUAUGUGCAAUUGUAGAGUAUACCUCCUGUUGACAAUUCUCAGAAGAAAUCGUAUGAAAUAAUUCUGUAACUUCUUAAAGUUAGAUAGUUGAAUAAAAAAAUUUCUUGCUAGUGGUCAAGCUUUUCUGAUGGCCCUUUUGAGAUAAUCUUCGGAAAGCUGCAAUGAAAUAGAUAAACAACAUAGGAACUUCUAUUAAGAAAUAUGGAUGAACCACAUUGUAAAUUUUAUAGGGAAUCUGUCUUAUAACUUUAUGACUUGCUAUGAUGCUUUUACUGUCGUCUUUCUAAUUCAGUAUCAUUAUUUCCUAGUUCCUUGACCUUAUUGAUAGCAUCUAGUUAUUUGAUCUGCAAGGCCGUGAAUUAAUUGCAAUAUGGAUCUGUUUUCUCUAUCUUAUGUACAGAAAGCACAGAAGUGCAGCUUGGUUGUUCAAUCAUGGGAACCAUUGAUGGGAAAUUUGACAGUGGAUAUCUGGCUACUGUCAACUUGGGUUCUGAUGAACUGAAAGGUGUCUUGUAUCAUGCUCCUACAUCUACAUAUGUUUCUCAGAGCUUUUCGGACAUGCCUACUCGACGGAACCGAAAGAGAUCCAGGUUGGCAUUACGUGAUCCCUUUCGGCCCAAGUCAAACAGGAGUGGUUACAAUUUCUUCUUCGCUGAGCAUUAUGCCAGAUUAAAACCUUUGUACUAUGGGCAAGAGAGAGCCAUCAGCAAGAAAAUUGGGUAUCUAUGGAACAAUCUCACAGAGGCUGAGAAACAGGUAUAGUGAGUUGGUGACAUUUUUUUUUUUUUUUUUUUUUUUUUUCAGUUAGUCCUUUUUCGCUCGUAACGUCCCAAGCUAAUUUCAUUAUCGUAUAUUUGUGUUCCGGUAUAGAUCUAAGGUUUGAGAAGAAGUUUCACAUGCUUGGAUAGAAUUACUAUUUUCAUCUCCUUUUGUGUUGAUUCUCAACACUUCUAACUUGCGGUAUAUUGGAAGUCUUCUUGAAGUGUUCAUCAUAACACUCCGUUGCUGCGUUGCAGGUUUAUCAGGAUAAAGCGAUGAAGGACAAGGAGAGAUACAGGACCGAACUGCUGGAAUAUAAAUCUUCCUACAAUCCUACGCAGCAAUAGCCUCCAUGUUCGUUAGAUAGGCAACUUGUUUCGUAGGCAUCAUUUUCCUCUCUUGUAUGCCUUUUUGUAGUAGUUGUCAUCGUUGCCGGUAUUUAACCUAGUUCGGUUUUCAUUUUUCUUUGGUAAGGUUACCCCUCAGUAUGCCCCAUCCGCGGAAAAGAAUUGCGGAAGGGGUGAAAGGGGGCAGCUCUUUGUAACAGCUGUUGAAUUUGCCUUCACUUUGGAUUAGUAGGAUUCCAUUGCAGUGACGAUCUUUGAUAUUUCUUGACAUUCCAAUGUAACAAUAGUAAUUCCUGGAACUGCAGUCUAAAAUUUAAGGGAGCUUAUUUUCACACACAAUCUUUAGCCUUCUACACAGCCCUCACACAUAUUCCUGACAUCGGAUUGAAUAAAUGAAAUAGAAAACACGAUUCGGAUUGAAUAAAUGAAAUAGAAAACACGAUUAGGAUUAAAUAAGCGUGUAGGAGGAGAAAAAUUAUUUGUAAUUUCCAAAAUUUAUAGGUGGAUUGAAAAGUUUUGAACAUUAUGCAAUGUUUACGAGCUCGUUUGAAAGUGCUUUUAAAAUGACUGAAUGCUCUUUUGGUGAAAUUGAUUUUGGGUUCCAAAAGUACUCAAGUGCCUUUUGGAAGAAAUACCAGAUAUGUACUUUUUCAAGAAAGCACUUAAAUGUUUUUUCAUGAUCUACUUGGAUUUUUACUAAAUAUUGGUUUUAAAAACAUUUUCAUCAAAAAGACUUACAGUCAUUUCAAAAAGACUUCCAAAUGAUACAACACCUAAUGUACGCAGAUCACUACAACUGACUUUUGAGCUAGUUAGAAUUAUUUUUUAUCUUGGGGUUUCUAUCUAUUUUUAAUCUCAUCAUCCAAGAAAAUGUUAAACACAAAAGCAUAAAAAAAAACAAAAUGAAUUACGCCACCAUCUCAAAUUUAUUGAGUGAUAUUUUAACGUAAUCUAAAUUGCAAGGAGAAGAUCAACUAAUACAAUAAUUUAGAAAUAUUUUUCUUUGUUUUUAAGUAACAUGUUUCAAAUUUGACUUACAUAGACAGCGAGGGAGUAUUGUAAUUAUGUCAAGUUUGAUACCUAAUUAAUGGCUGACUUAGCCUAGUCCCCCUCUCCUUAGAGUAAAAUAUAUUGUAACAAAAUUAUAGAGAGAGGUAACUAAGUGGGAUGAUAGAGAGAGGUAACUAAGUGGGAUGAGGCAGUGCAUUAUUAUCCUGGUCAACUUUGGCUAUGCCAAGUCCUACAUUUUUUACUUUCAAAUAUGAUUAUUACUUGCUUUCUUAAUCAACUAGAAGUAAAACUAUUGGCUUAGGAAAUACAUUUUAACGGAUACUUUUUACCUUUCAUAACGUGGUAAUACAUGUUUUACCUUAAUUAAUUAGUUCCCCUUCAAACAAACAAAAUGUAUACAUAAGUAAUGAUUUUCUUUUUGACACACAAUAUGAUAUUUUAAUACAAACAGACAAUACAAUAUGUGAAUUGGAACAUUAGAGCUCUUAAACUCGUACAUUGUACAACUAAGUGAAAAAAGCUAAACUAUAGUUAGAUGAAAGGUAGUCAUUUAGUACUACGAUAUAAUGAUAUUCUUCGAUCUAGUUGUUCAUUUUCACUUGUAAGUGAUCUUAUGUUUGAUUAUUGUCAAAAGCAAAUUUGAGCCAAAUUAUUGUCUAUUGUGAGGUUUAGCCUAACUCCUCUUUUUCGUACGAUAGAUAAAAUCGUUUGUUAAAAAAAGUUAAACAAAAAGCUUGCUGGUCAAAGACUCAAAUGCAACGACUUCCUUCACACAUUUUCUUUCGUCAAAGCAUUAAGUAGAAUUUAAAUUCCUUGCUCAUAAAAUUGGAAACAUGGAGGCCAUUCAAAGGUUUGAAACCGCGUGGAAACAAAAGGAUAGAAGAAAUAAAUUGGAAAAUUUGCUCCUCUAAUCACUUUCUUAUUUAGACUCUAGUCAUGUGUGUGGUGAGUGGUGAAUGGUGGGAACAUGAGGGCAGUGCAUCAUAUGCAAUUAUAUAAUUGGAGAAACGUUUGAAAAUAAAAACUUUUCACCACUUGUAUAUUAACAUUUGGCGUACCAUUACGUGUUUUGAGUGUACUGAAAAAUCUAGUGAAUGGUGGUAUGAGAUGUGAAAAUUCACAUAAAAGAGGAUCAAAAGGGAUAAUAAUGACAUGCAUUAACUUAAAGGAUGGCGAUAAGCACGGAUUUUGAAACUAACCCAAGAGAGUUCCCACUUUGCUAGGCUUCUUGCCCCCUUUUAAUUUCCUCUCCUUGAUAGAGUAGGAAAUCCUUUUGGGAUUUUAUUCUAAUUAGAAAAAUGAGAUUUUUUAAUAUAUGCUGCGAAUAUCUUAUGUAUUGAAAAUUUUAAUCAAUAUAUUAUUGGUUAAAGAUUCAACAAUUAAAGUUGCAAACGUUUAAAAAUUUAGUGUAUAAAGUACAUCAAAGUAUAGUAAAUUUUUUAUUAAAAAAUAGUGGAAUAAUUUAUCAUUGAUUAACACUUAUAAAGGGUAACACAAAUAAGAAGAGAAAAAAAAAAUCCUUAAAAAAAAGAAGACAAAAAGCUAAUUUUUGGGGUUGGAGGAAUAAUUACAAAGAAAAGAUUGUAUCCUAAAUUUUUGUGAAAACUGAGAGAAUUCCGGAUGAUUGGCCUUGGAGUAUCUUCCAAGGAAGAUUAAAAUUAAAUUAUAAUGUAAGAUAAAAAUUAGAAAAAAAAAAUUAAAGGAAGAAAUUCCAAAAACCCUUACUCUUUGGGGCAGGUAUGGUUUAGUGUUGUAAGUGGGGCUCCUAAAUACUCGUAGUGGGAUAGAAGAGAGUGGCACACUUCAUACUAAACAGUACUACCUAAACCUUUGUUUGGAUGGAGUUUAAUUUUUCAUUUUUCAUUGAACUCUUCUUAUUUUUUGAAGGAUCUCUCUCAAAAUUAGGAUUGUUAUGACCUCUUUGUCAACCCAUAGUUUAAAGUUAAUUUUGUGUUAACAUUAUAAAAUAUUAUACCAAAAGCAUAAGGUAACAAGGAUUUUAUAAAGAGUCUUAAGAGAGUUCGAUUAUCAGUUCACUAUCUUUUGUGUGGUGGUUUUAUGGUUUUCAAACUUUUCAAAAUUCUCAUACUAUUCUCAGUCAGUGACUCAAAAUUCCGUGAGAAUUUGGAGAUUCUGAAAGAACGGAUUAACAGGCUUUGACGGUCAAUUGCCCAUGAACCAAAACUCAUACAAACAGCAGUUAAACCCAAAAUAAUAUUAAUUAAAAAACCUAACAAUAUCUAUAAAAAUAUAACAAUUAUAAUUCUCUUUCUAUAACAAUUUGGUGACUUGAAAGACCGAAGGCCUGCCUAACUGCUGCAGAAUUUGUGAAGUCCUCUCUCUCUCUUAGCUCUUCUGGGUUUGUUUCUCUGCUCCUUUCCUUGGCUAUUUUUCAACUCUAAUCUUUUUUUUUGAGCUGUAAUCUGAUGACAUCAUUAGCUGGCUGGAAGCCACUGAAUUUCCUUGUUUUCUUUCCCCUCUUAGAGUUCUUGAUUAUAUUGAGGUCAGGAUUUUCAGGACUUAUAAUUACCCAAAACAAGAUCAUGAUCAAAGUAGCCUAAUUUUGCUUCUCAGCUAAGCUAACCUUUUCACAUUUAUAUUUGCAUAUAUAUAUAUAUAUAAAAUCUCAAUCUCCUAGUAGGGUUCCGCAUACUCACAUCCUUAGCUUUAGCUCCUUUCUACCCAAAUCUUCUUUCUUUUCUUAUUCCCCAAGCACCAAAAAAAAAAAAAAAAAAAAAAAAAAAAA